This 99-nucleotide microRNA precursor is filed under the name Apis mellifera (honey bee). Its description in RNAcentral is "microRNA ame-mir-3477 precursor". It matches the Rfam family "mir-3477 microRNA precursor family". Lineage: Eukaryota; Metazoa; Arthropoda; Insecta; Hymenoptera; Apidae. The record is from miRBase by way of RNAcentral.
UUUGGUAGCGUUGGAGUGGGUAAUCUCAUGCGGUAACUGUGAGUGUGUGAAUUGUAAAAGCUCAUAUUACCUCGUGGGGUUUCCCACCCGUUACCAUUA